UAUCUAGAUCUACUCUAGUUUAGAGAAGAGAGGAGAGCUCUCAUCUCUAAACCCUAGCUUUUGCUCUGUCUAUAAAUAAUGAAUAAUGAUCAAGAGGUGCCUCCUCCAGGGGCCAGGGGGUCUGGUUAUAUAGUCCCCUCAAGUGAACCUGGGCCGUCGGAUCAAACCGACAUUGAUUGAACGGUUAUUCUUGAUCCUUUAGGUCGGUGGAGCAUAAUCCGCGAGGUUGAACGUGAUUGGCCACUGUAGCAGGGCGGGCGCCCUAAGGACUUGGGCGGGCGCCCAGGUCCUGGGCCCGAUCGGCCUCCCGUUCGUUCCCGUGGCUUCUGGAGUCUUCUAGAUGGUAGAAAAUUGCGCGGCACGUUAAUAUCUCUAUGUAAACCCGACGUGUGGGCCUUUCUUCCUUAUUUCCUGAUAACCCCCUGCAGAAAUAGACAAACACCAAAACUCGUGGAAUUCUGUCAGAUAAAACCCUAAGUCUCGAUGUUGAUUUCAUUUGGAUCCUUUUCUUUGUUUAUUGGAUAGUUAAAUUUGAUACUUAAGGACCGUCAACAAACUCCCCCAAGCUUACCUCUUGCUCGUCCCUGAGCAAGGAUAGACUCAGCUAUGGAUCAUAAGUUGUUGCAAUAUCUUUAAAAAUUGACGGUACACAUGCUUUUAAAUGAGGUCUCAUCUCUGAGUUAGAGUAAACUGUCAAGACUUAAAACUUACUUACUUUACCUUUCACUAUGGGACUUGUAACCAUCACUUCUGUCUUGAGUAGUUAAAAGAUAGAAAAGUCUAGCCAAGUGCCAUGUCUCUUAUUCUUGAUCAGCUAUAGCUCUGGAGUUUUUGUAGAUUUUCAAAUAAAACUCAGAGAUUCCUUUGUAUGACUCUCUCAUAUCUCUCUUUUGUGGUAUUUCUGGAUCCUUACCAAGGCAGUGAUGGUAUAUGCCUUCUCUCAAAAUAUGUGGUAUUUGUGGUAUAAGGCAUAGUGACAUUGCCUUCUCUCUCACCCUACUAUAAUAAGGCUUUAAUAUCUGGAGCUCAUAGGUGGGAGAUAAAGUAUACAUACUUACAAGACAUUUAUUGUAUAGUCAAACCAUGGAUCCAAAGAAACAAAUCAAUAAGCCAAAUCAAGAUGUGCAUGUGUGGCGAAUGAAUGGUGUAUAGUGAUGAUGGUGAUAACAAUGGUGAAAGUCUAAUUCUACUUUUGCUCUUAUGAGGGGAUACAUACCUUCCUUGCUUUUUGACACUUUAUGAGGAGAAUGAGAUGCUCUUCUUUUUCUUUCCUCUCAGGUGGGUAUAUUGUACCCCUAAUUCUACUGUCGGACACUUGUCCAUUUUUACCUCUCGUCUCACUCUUUGUCUUUUCUUUCGAGGUUUCGGGCACUUGCCCCUUUUUAUUUCCUCGUUUAUUUUUUUUUCUCUUUUUUUUUCUCUUUUUUUUAGAGCACUCAUCUCUUAAGAUAAUAUAGCAAGUGGUAGUAGCAAGAUAACUUGAGCAUUUAUUUCACAAGGGUAAAACACAGAUGUUUUGGCUAUUCUCUCCCGAAUUAGGAGUAGAAUAUUUUUAAGUGAUUCUGGAGAUGGAAAUGGAUGGAUAUAUGUGGAUGGUACUUCCGGAGUAGAAGUAGCAUAUAUAUGAGUGAACGUGCAAGUGAAUCUUGAUUUAACCACAUGACAAGCUCCUAAGGGUCUACACAGCUUGACCACACUCAAUGCUCAUAAGCAGUAAAUAAUAAAUGUGUGGCUCAAAGUCUAGCAAGCAUGUAUAUAUGGUUGUGGUAGGAAUUUAAACUUUCAUCAUACAGGAACUCAUCAUGCAACAUUUUAAAGAUUUUUCAAAGAUAAAAUUCUCCAUAAUUCUAGCAUCUCUAGGAAUAGAUAAACAGCAGCUCAACCUUCCCAUAUCAUAUCCGUUAACAACUUAGAUUUCAGAUCAAGUUUUCAUCCCACAAGUUUAGAUCUAGAGCAAGCUUUAAAUUAUAACAGUUAUGUCUAAACUUGAGAGAGAACUUCAAAUUUGCAAAUUAGGCAGAGCAACUAUUCAUCAUAUCCAUGCUAGAGUUUUAUUAUUAAGAUUCAUAGCAAACUUUAUUUAUUUAUUUAUUUAUUUAUUUAGCAAACUAAGAAAAGAUAUAUAUAUAUAUAUAUAAGCAUAAAAUCUUUAUUUGGUUUUUUAUAGUUUAUGUAUUUUAAUAUUCUAAUAUAAUAUAAGUAUAAAGAUAGGUAGAAAUACUUAGCGAGAUAAAUGGGGGUGCUCUCCCCCAAGCUGAAUUUUGACGUAAUUUCUCUUGAUGUAGCUAGCAGGUAGCAGAGGUGUAUUUGAAAGUCAACAGCAUUCUGACAGCGAUUAGAAUGUCCUCCGUCUGCUAGUCUUCUUGAUUCUUAAAUUCUGUGGAGCUCAAAUAGACAACAAAGCUUGUGGAACUAAUUAAGUGUUAGCAUAAAUAUCUAGCCUUCAUCACGUUGAGCUUCCUCAAUAAAUAUUACUCCCUGUUUUUAUAUUUUUAUUUUAUAAAGUAGAAAAGAAAUAUUUAUUUUAUUUUUAUGCCACCACAGUGAAGGUACUUAUGGGUUUUAUGCCACUCGUAUACUCACAUGGGGCUUAGUAUUUUUUAACAUUUUUAUUUUCUUUUCAAGAUAGCAUGAUUAACUAAAAAUCUAUUUAAGGAAAGUAAAUAAUUAAAGGGAAAGGGAAUGCAGAAAGGAUAAAUAUGGAUAACUACCAAUCUUACCUUUCGGCGAGGGUUCGAUGUUUUAAGUCUUCUUGACAAGACUUCUCACCGUGUUCAUUCUUCAGGUGCGUCAUUUGAUUCAGGUGCGGACCUUGACGUCUGCACCUUUUAAUACGGUGUCACCCAUGUUCUUCGUUUGCCCAGCAGUUCGAAGUGAGGUGUUAGCAGUAUCUUGCUCAGUGUGUUUGUGCUCGUAGUGUACCUGCUCAUAGAGACAAGGCAGAGAUCAAGUGCAUGGGCCCUGUUGGUGGAAAACACCAACAGAACCAAAAGUGUAUUUGUUCUUCUCUAAUCUUAAGCAUAGUGAGCAAGACAAGUUGAUGGAUGAUAAGUUCAUGAGUGUAGCACUUAUAACAUUUGUCAGAUCAGAUCGCUCAACCUUAUGGAAAGAUAAUCUAUCUAUGUAUAUGUCUUUUUCUUUAUAUCUCUCAAUGAUUGAAUGUGUAACAUUUUAGCUCAUAUGAUUAGGAGUGUGGGAUCAUGGAGGUAGUACUAAGAACAAGGAUUAAAGGACUAAACAUGUUGAAUCAGUUGGGUUGGUUAAUCUAGAGUUGUAAAUCAUACACGUUUGUCUCUUUUAUUUAUAUGAACGCCAGAACCAAGA
Molecule: long non-coding RNA, 3324 nt
Filed under: Sorghum bicolor (sorghum)
Lineage: Eukaryota; Viridiplantae; Streptophyta; Magnoliopsida; Poales; Poaceae
Description: long non-coding RNA (SBIC_LNC003097)
Source: RNAcentral